This 775-nucleotide ribosomal RNA is filed under the name uncultured Neocallimastigales. Its description in RNAcentral is "partial large subunit ribosomal RNA". It matches the Rfam family "Eukaryotic large subunit ribosomal RNA", at positions 24 to 646 of the family's 3401-position model. Lineage: Eukaryota; Fungi; Neocallimastigomycota; Neocallimastigomycetes; Neocallimastigales. The record is from RNAcentral.
GUAGUCUCGCACAGAUGCAUAUCAAUAAGCGGAGGAAAAGAAACUAACAAGGAUUCCCCUAGUAACGGCGAGUGGAGCGGGAAGAGCUCAAAUUUGAAAUCUUAAAGGGUUUCCCUUUACGAAUUGUAGUUUAAAGAAGUGUUUUCUGUUGAGGUUUUGGUAAAAGUUCUUUGGAAUAGGACAUCAUAGAGGGUGAGAAUCCCGUAUUUGACCUUUACUUUCAACUUUGUGAUACACUUUCAAAGAGUCGGAUUGUUUGGGAAUGCAGUCCAAAAUGGGUGGUAAAUUUCAUCUAAGGCUAAAUAUUGGCGAGAGACCGAUAGCGAACAAGUACCGUGAGGGAAAGAUGAAAAGAACUUUGAAAAGAGAGUUAAACAGUACGUGAAAUUGUCAAAAGGGAAGCGUUUGACACCAGUGUUGUUUUUCUGAAAAUCAAUUAAAGAACUGUUUUAUGCUAAGUUGUUUAGACUUUAUCAGCUAACUGUUUAGUUUUGAGCUUUUCUUUAAUGCACUUUCCAGUUAACAAGUCAACAUCAAUUUCUUUUGCUGUAAAAAAGCUUGAGGAAGGUGGCUUGAGAUUCGUCUUAAGUGUUUAUAGCCUCUUGCCUAUGCAGUCGGAGAGAUUGAGGUCUGCAGCGUAGAUCCUUCGGGGCUAAAUGCAUUUGUGCUAAGUUAUAGCAUUUUAUAGACAACUUGUUGACUAUGAUUUGUCUUGUAGCUUACUCGCUUAUGUUAUUUUACCUACGCUUAGGAUGUUGAUCUGUAGUGCGUGCGC